AGAGUUUGAUCCUGGCUCAGGACGAACGCUGGCGGCGUGCCUAACACAUGCAAGUCUGGGAGAAUUGGGUAGCAAUAUCCAUWGUAAACCGGCGCACGGGUGAGUAAUAUAUAGGUAAUAUGCCUUUUGGUUUGGAAUAACYCCGCGAAAGCGGKGCUAAUACCGAAUGAUGCAGCGGCUCCGCAUGGAGAUGUUGUUAAAGCUUCGGCGCCAAAAGAUUAACCUGUAUCCCAUUAGAUAGUUGGCGAGGUAACGGCUCACCAAGUCUGCGAUGGGUAGCUGAUCUGAGAGGAUGAUCAGCCACACUGGAACUGAGACACGGUCCAGACUCCUACGGGAGGCAGCAGUGAGGAAUAUUGCGCAAUGGAGGAAACUCUGACGCAGCGACGCCGCGUGAAGGAUGAAGGCCCUCUGGGUUGUAAACUUCUGUAGAGAGGGAAGAAUUUCYSSCUCCGSSRGAUUGACGGUACCUCUAAAGUAAGGGUCGGCUAACUACGUGCCAGCAGCCGCGGUAAUACGUAGGACCCAAGCGUUGUCCGGAUUUACUGGGUGUAAAGGGAGCGCAGGCGGAUUAUUAAGUCGAUUGUGAAAUCUUGCGGCUCAACCGCAAAACAGCAGUCGAUACUGWURAUCUUGAGUGUGGAAGAGAGYGGCGGAAUUCAUGGUGUAGCAGUGAAAUGCGUAGAUAUCAUGAAGAACACCGGUUGCGAAGGCGGCCACUUAGUCCAUUACUGACGCUCAUGCUCGAAAGCGUGGGGAUCAAACAGGAUUAGAUACCCUGGUAGUCC
This 788-nucleotide ribosomal RNA is filed under the name uncultured bacterium. RNAcentral describes it as "bacterial SSU rRNA". It matches the Rfam family "Bacterial small subunit ribosomal RNA", at positions 8 to 796 of the family's 1533-position model. The record is from RNAcentral.